Molecule: long non-coding RNA, 1999 nt
Organism: Vigna radiata var. radiata (mung bean)
Lineage: Eukaryota; Viridiplantae; Streptophyta; Magnoliopsida; Fabales; Fabaceae
Exons: 2
Source: RefSeq, a predicted model, not a curated record
GUGCAAGGAGGGAAAGUUAUUUUUUUAUUAUAAGAUCAAAUGGGCUUGAGCCCAAAGACAAAGGGUGCGACUUAGCGAAAACAGGGGUGCUAGAGAAGAAUAGUUUUUUUGUUGGUUUUGGCCCAGCAGCCCAGGGUUUGGCUAUUCCCAUUCAGAAACCUUAGGGGUCUGCCUCCCUUCAUCCCAAAUCACACGAGACCUAGGGUAUCUCCUUCUCUCUGAGCACAAGCCACCCCAUCCCCCACGAUCACCAACCCAGCCGCCGUGAGUGACAGCCACGAGCCACCCUUACUCCGUCCAAGGCGUCGCCGGCGACUAUCGCCAGCCACAAGCCACCCGCUCUCUCGCACUAGCCUAGGGUUACGCAACCGCAUCACCACUUCUUCAAAUCCAACCACCGCGCCACCACCUUCUUUGGUUGCGUCGUUGCCGUUGACGGUAGGUGCCACCAGAAUCACGGUCGACCACGAUAUCUUCUCCCCCUCUCUCCCUCGCACUAGGCUAGAGGCUCCGCUUCGAGCGAGCCCAGUCGCCUGAGACGCAAGCCACAGCGCCACCAACACCAAAGGUUACAACCACUGUGAGUUACCAGCAAGGAAAACCCUUUUCUCCUCUUCGUAAUCGGAGUCACUGCCACCAAAGGGCCGCAAUUUUGACUCACGCACCCUGCGGAUUGGGGGAAGUCCCAAACAUAAAUGGAAUCGAGAUUGUGUGAGGGAUUUUCUGAUUUUGCUUAGUUUCCUCCCUAUGUCCAUGGCUUUGCGUUGUUUUUGUUUUCUAUUGUAGGAGAAGGAGAAACAAGGGCGAAUGGGAAAUGUAGUGAAGAUAGGUUGGGGUAAUGAGGCGCGGUGUUGAGCCAAAAGGGGAUCCUAGUGUCAAUGCAGCUAUGGUGAGGGAGUUUGGGCUGAAAUAUUGGUUGUUCUUUGUUUUGCAGGGAAAUGGUGUGUAGUAGAAAUCAAGGUUGGUGGGGUUUCGGUUGGGCCAUUUCGGCUUUGGUAAUGGAAAUAGGGAAAUGAAGAGAAUGAGGGUUGCUCUGUGCGUUGUGAAAGCGAGAUUGUGGAAGCAGCUGUGUUGACGAAGGUUGGGCGUACUGAGGGGCUGUUGAUUGUGUCCUUCGAAUGCUUGGGUUUCCGUUAUGGUGAUUGGGCUUGUUGAAAAUGAGUGAAUGUCAUGCGUGUGUACGUGAGUGUGGUUUGAGAGUGAUAAUUGACGAAAAAAUGAGUGGGAAACUAGAAUACAGAACCAGACCAAGUAACAUCCCAACAUAAUUACAUCUUUAACCCAAACAAUAGCAGACAAACCAAGCCAAGCAGUAUCAAACGAAAGGUAACCCGGUCAAAAUACCAAUAUCCAGGAUUGUAAACAUCCAUGCUUGUGAGCAGUGAAGCUUGAAGAAUGAGGGCUUACUUUUUAUGUCGGCAGUGAAGCUCCACUUCUUUUCCUUUUCUUUGUGGUAUUGGGCACCAAGCUCUGGCAGUGAUAGUGACUGAUAUGGUGAGGAUGAACCGAUAGGUGGGAGCUAGCAGAUCAAGUUAAAGUUGGGUGGGAGAGAAAAAUGGUUGUUCUGGUGAUUCUGCUGAGUGAGUAAAUUGGAGAAGAGAAUCCUCUCAAGGGUGAUGGAUGUGUGAGAGACAAUGGUGUUGCCUCUUGUUGCUGGAACCCUCUUUUUCUGGUUCAGGUCUGUGAUGGUUUUUUUUGCUUUUUUGUGUAUGUGAAUGGAGGAAAAUUGAUUUUGUUCAGUAGAGAGUGAUUAGAGCCGUUGAGAGCUCUGUGUGAGGUGAAUCAUGGAUGCUCUUGGAGGUUCCCCCUCCGCUUUCUGUAUGAUCAGUGCGCAUGCCUUAAAGAUUUUUUUUUGCUUUUUUUUGUCUUUUUUUUUUUCUCUUUUUAUGUUUCAAUUGAACGAAUUGGUCAAAGCAAAUCAAAGAUCCUUUACCCAUUUGAUGUAUGAUCAUAGCUCUGUAGAAUGCAUUUUGAGCAAGAGAACCGAACACCUUUCUCA